UGAGGAAUAUUGGUCAAUGGGCGAGAGCCUGAACCAGCCAAGUCGCGUGAAGGAAGACUGCCUUAUGGGUUGUAAACUUCUUUUAUACAGGAAUAAAAAGGCUUACGUGUAGGCCAUUGCAAGUACUGUAUGAAUAAGCAUCGGCUAACUCCGUGCCAGCAGCCGCGGUAAUACGGAGGAUGCGAGCGUUAUCCGGAUUUAUUGGGUUUAAAGGGUGCGCAGGCGGGCUUUUAAGUCAGCGGUGAAAUCUGGACGCUUAACGUCCAAACUGCCGUUGAAACUGGGAGUCUUGAGUAUGGAUGAAGUAGGCGGAAUUCGUUGUGUAGCGGUGACAUGCAUAGAUAUAACGAGGAACUCCGAUUGCGUAGGCAGCUUACUAAGCCAUAACUGACGCUCAUGCACGAAAGCGUGGGGAUCAAACAGGAUUAGAUACCCUGGUAGUCCACGCCGUAAAACGAUGAUUACUAGUUGUAUGCGAUAUGAUAGUAUGUGACUAAGCGAAAAGCGAUAAGUAAUCCACCUGGGGAGUACGCCGGCAACGGUGAAACUCAAAGGAAUUGACGGGGUCAUAGCUGUUUCCUG
RNAcentral lists this ribosomal RNA (582 nucleotides) under uncultured bacterium. RNAcentral's name for it is "partial 16S ribosomal RNA". It matches the Rfam family "Bacterial small subunit ribosomal RNA", at positions 355 to 1376 of the family's 1533-position model. The record is from RNAcentral.